RNAcentral lists this ribosomal RNA (430 nucleotides) under Fusobacteriota bacterium. RNAcentral describes it as "Fusobacteria bacterium partial 16S ribosomal RNA". It matches the Rfam family "Bacterial small subunit ribosomal RNA", at positions 355 to 776 of the family's 1533-position model. The record is from RNAcentral. Lineage: Bacteria; Fusobacteriati; Fusobacteriota.
UAGGGAAUCUUCGGCAAUGGACGAAAGUCUGACCGAGCAACGCCGCGUGAGUGAAGAAGGUUUUCGGAUCGUAAAACUCUGUUGUUAGAGAAGAACAAGGAUGAGAGUAGAAUGUUCAUCCCUUGACGGUAUCUAACCAGAAAGCCACGGCUAACUACGUGCCAGCAGCCGCGGUAAUACGUAGGUGGCAAGCGUUGUCCGGAUUUAUUGGGCGUAAAGCGAGCGCAGGCGGUUUCUUAAGUCUGAUGUGAAAGCCCCCGGCUCAACCGGGGAGGGUCAUUGGAAACUGGGAAACUUGAGUGCAGAAGAGGGGGGUGGAAUUCCAUGUGUAGCGGUGAAAUGCGUAGAUAUAGGGAGGAACACCAGUGGCGAAGGCGGCUCUCUGGUCUGUAACUGACGCUGAGGCUCGAAAGCGUGGGGAGCAAACAGG